Molecule: ribosomal RNA, 243 nt
Filed under: Haemophilus sp. HMSC066D02
Lineage: Bacteria; Pseudomonadati; Pseudomonadota; Gammaproteobacteria; Pasteurellales; Pasteurellaceae
Also listed under: 1 other name
Description: partial 23S ribosomal RNA
Rfam family: Bacterial large subunit ribosomal RNA
Source: RNAcentral
UGCUGGACGUAUCAGAAGUGCGAAUGCUGACAUAAGUAACGAUAAAACGGGUGAAAAACCCGUUCGCCGGAAGACCAAGGGUUCCUGUCCAACGUUAAUCGGGGCAGGGUGAGUCGGCCCCUAAGGCGAGGCUGAAAAGCGUAGUCGAUGGGAAACGGGUUAAUAUUCCCGUACUUGGAUAAACUGCGAUGUGGGGACGGAGCAGGUUAGGUUAUCGCACUGUUGGAUAUGUGCGUUUAAGUU